GUAAGCGCCGUGACCGAUGCCUGUAUUCGGCUAGCGAAGCCGUCGGAUUGAGGUCGAGUUCGUUCGCGAAUCUCGUAACCAGUCCGUCGGUCGAAUAGAUAUCGUUAGACCGUAGCAUCGAGAGAUUGAAUUCGAACGUCGGCGAAUCUGUUAGCGCUCGCCUAUUACGACGGACGUACGUUCGGUCGGUGGCCACCUGCCCGCAGGUUUCCGUCGCAUCCGGCGCGUAUCCGAAGUCGUUGGCGACGUUUUACGACGUUCGGGUGUCCACGGCGUCCGAGUCGGUCGCCCGUCCGACCCGUCUUGAAACACGGACCAAGGAGUCUAACGUAAGCGCGAGCUAAUGGGCGGAAAACCCAUAAGCGCAAUAAAAGUAAAAGUCGUCUCGGGCGGCUUAGGUACGAUCCCGCAGGGCGAAUUAAUCCUCGGGCGCAGUACCGUCCCAUCCCGACCGCUCGUCGGUAGGGCGGAGAUAGAGUGCAUACGUUGGGACCCGAAAGAUGGUGAACUAUGCCUGAGCAGAGCGAAGCCAGAGGAAACUCUGGUGGAGGUUCGUAGCAGGUUCCUGACGUGCAAAUCGAUAGUCAGA
This 589-nucleotide ribosomal RNA is filed under the name Xiphinema andalusiense. RNAcentral's name for it is "eukaryotic LSU rRNA". It matches the Rfam family "Eukaryotic large subunit ribosomal RNA", at positions 483 to 909 of the family's 3401-position model. The record is from RNAcentral. Lineage: Eukaryota; Metazoa; Nematoda; Enoplea; Dorylaimida; Longidoridae.